This 484-nucleotide ribosomal RNA is filed under the name uncultured bacterium. Its description in RNAcentral is "partial 16S ribosomal RNA". It matches the Rfam family "Bacterial small subunit ribosomal RNA", at positions 30 to 507 of the family's 1533-position model. The record is from RNAcentral.
AUUGAACGCUGGCGGCAGGCCUAACACAUGCAAGUCGAGCGGAUGAAGGGAGCUUGCUCCUGGAUUCAGCGGCGGACGGGUGAGUAAUGCCUGGGAAUCUGCCUGGUAGUGGGGGAUAACGUCCGGAAACGGGCGCUAAUACCGCAUACGUCCUGAGGGAGAAAGUGGGGGAUCUUCGGACCUCACGCUAUCAGAUGAGCCUAGGUCGGAUUAGCUAGUUGGUGGGGUAAAGGCCUACCAAGGCGACGAUCCGUAACUGGUCUGAGAGGAUGAUCAGUCAAACUGGGACUGGAAACCGGGCCCAGCUCCCUGGGGGGGGAAGGGGGGGGAAAUUUUGGAAAGGGGGCGAAACCUGAACCCAGCCAAGCCGGGGGUGGAAAAAAGGUUUUGGGUUUGUAAAGCCUUUUAAUUUGGAGGAAGGGGAAGAAAGUUAAUACCUUGCUUUUUGACGGUUCCCAACAAAAAAAGCACGGCUAAAUUUGUU